AGGGCGACAACGGUUACUGUGAUU
RNAcentral lists this microRNA (24 nucleotides) under Gossypium raimondii (Peruvian cotton). Its description in RNAcentral is "gra-miR8700". Lineage: Eukaryota; Viridiplantae; Streptophyta; Magnoliopsida; Malvales; Malvaceae. The record is from miRBase by way of RNAcentral.